AACGCUAGCUACAGGCUUAACACAUGCAAGUCGCGGGGUAACGAGAGGGAAGCUUGCUUUCCUUGUCGACGGCCGGCGCACGGGUGAGUAACGCGUAUCCAACCUGCCCAUUACCACGGGAUACCCCGUCGAAAGGCGGCCUAAUACCGUAUGCAGUCGUCAGAUGACAUCAGAGGACGACGAAAGGAUUGGCGGUAAUGGAUGGGGAUGCGUCUGAUUAGGUAGUUGGAGGGGUAACGGCCCACCAAGCCAUCGAUCAGUAGGGGUUCUGAGAGGAAGGUCCCCCACAUUGGAACUGAGACACGGUCCAAACUCCUACGGGAGGCAGCAGUGAGGAAUAUUGGUCAAUGGGCGCGAGCCUGAACCAGCCAAGUAGCGUGAGGGAUGACGGCCCUAUGGGUUGUAAACCUCUUUUAUGCGGGAAUAAAAUGUUUGACGUGUCAUACAUUGUAGGUACCGCAAGAAUAAGGACCGGCUAAUUCCGUGCCAGCAGCCGCGGUAAUACGGAAGGUCCAGGCGUUAUCCGGAUUUAUUGGGUUUAAAGGGAGCGUAGGCCGCAAGUCAAGCGUGUUGUGAAAUGCAGGGGCUCAACCUCUGGAUUGCAGCGCGAACUGGCAUGCUUGAGUACGCACGAGGUAGGCGGAAUUUGUGGUGUAGCGGUGAAAUGCUUAGAUAUCACGAAGAACUCCGAUUG
This 694-nucleotide ribosomal RNA is filed under the name uncultured bacterium. Its description in RNAcentral is "bacterial SSU rRNA". It matches the Rfam family "Bacterial small subunit ribosomal RNA", at positions 32 to 715 of the family's 1533-position model. The record is from RNAcentral.